CCCUUAGAUGUUCUGGGCCGCACGCGCGCUACACUGAGCCCUUCAUCGAGUUUACAACCUUGGCCGGUAGGUCUGGGUAAUCUUCUCAAAGGGGCUCGUGCUGGGGAUAGAUUAUUGUAAUUUUUAAUCUUCAACGAGGAAUUCCUAGUAAACGCAAGUCAACAGCUUGCAUUGAUUACGUCCCUGCCCUUUGUACACACCGCCCGUCGCUACUACCGAUUGAAUGGCUUAGUGAGCCCGAGGGACUGUUGCACCUAGAGGGUUUUCUCUCCAGGAGCAGCCGGGAACUCGGUCAAACUUGAUCAUUUAGAGAAAGUAAAAGUCGUAACA
Molecule: ribosomal RNA, 330 nt
Filed under: uncultured eukaryote
Lineage: Eukaryota
Description: partial 18S ribosomal RNA
Rfam family: Eukaryotic small subunit ribosomal RNA
Source: RNAcentral